RNAcentral lists this ribosomal RNA (204 nucleotides) under uncultured bacterium. RNAcentral describes it as "partial 16S ribosomal RNA". It matches the Rfam family "Bacterial small subunit ribosomal RNA", at positions 111 to 334 of the family's 1533-position model. The record is from RNAcentral.
UAACACGUAGGAACAUACCCAAACUGAGGAUAAGCACCAGAAAUGGUGUCUAAUACCGCAUGUGCUCUUCGGAGUAAAGCUUCGGCGGUUUGGGAAUGGCCUGCGCAUGAUUAGCUUGUUGGUGAGGUAAUGGCUCACCAAGGCGACGAUCAUUAGCUGGUCUGAGAGGAUGAUCAGCCAGACUGGGACUGAGACACGGCCCAG